This is a long non-coding RNA of Erinaceus europaeus (western European hedgehog), 1030 nucleotides long. RefSeq lists it as uncharacterized. The transcript has 7 exons. NCBI's taxonomy places the organism in Eukaryota, Metazoa, Chordata, Mammalia, Eulipotyphla, Erinaceidae. The record is from RefSeq and is a predicted model, not a curated record.
CAGUGUGCCGUGGUCCACUGGGAGAAGAAAAAGUGCCUGGAGACACAUGGACGGCCAACUGCCACCAGUGCACCUGCAUGGCUGCCAGGUCUGUGGACUGCAGACCCCGGGAGUGCCCCGCCCCACCCACAUGUGGAGCCGGAGAGAAGGUGGUCACCUUCUCAUCUAGUGAUACAUACCUGCUGUGACAUUGGACACUAUGCUGCGUCCAGCGCAGCGCCAUGGAGCCCAGCGGCCUGCGCCCUAAUGCCUCCUUGCCCCCACGCUGCAUUGCAUUGCAUCGCACCCAUAGGCCCCAGCGCUGGGGCUCGACCCCGUGCCCUGAGCACCUGGCCACGACUGUGCGGAGGCCCCCCGCGUGGAAGUACUGCUGAGGACUCAGGACAGUGCUGUGCCGGACAGCCUCGGCCAGGUCCAUCUUGCUGGAGCCCAUCUACUGGGAUUCCUCCAAUGCCAAGAUUUUUUAUGUGGGGAGAAGUGCCUGGAUCAACCAAUUCAGAAGCUGCUCCAAUCAGCAGAUGAAGAAGCCAUUACUGCAUUUUUGGAAGAAAACUUUAAAUCUCCCAAAUGAAUGAUGACUCAUUAUUGACAUUAUGGAGCCCUUCCAUCUGGAGCAGAUGACUUCAGAGACCCCAGGGCAGCAGGUCUGCAAGGCCAGGCAGUAGAGAAGGAGCCAGCAGGGGAGAGGUUCCUGCACAGCAUUAGAUGUGUCUGACUUCUAAGGAAAAUGAGACUCCAGACACAUUGAUGGGGCAUCAACAAGACUGUGGAUAGGAAAUGAGUGAGCUGCCAACUAUUGAGCUGCUGAGCCGGAGACCACAAGACUCCACUUCUGUCUCCAUCAUCGCAGAGCCCUGCCAUCUGGAGCAGACCUCUGAGGAGAACUCAGGUCAGUGUGUCCUCAGGCCCAGACACUGAGUAGGAACCAGCAGGGAGCACUGGUGAACCCCAGCCAUUCUGCAAGUGUCCCCUCUGGGCCCAUGACUGCCAUCCUGAUGUGGCUCCUGACAUUGAAAGCCACCUGUAGGGG